This 301-nucleotide ribosomal RNA is filed under the name uncultured bacterium. RNAcentral's name for it is "partial 16S ribosomal RNA". It matches the Rfam family "Bacterial small subunit ribosomal RNA", at positions 509 to 808 of the family's 1533-position model. The record is from RNAcentral.
CAGCCGCCGCGGGAAUACGUAGGUCCCGAGCGUUGUCCGGAUUUAUUGGGCGUAAAGCGAGCGCAGGCGGUUAGAUAAGUCUGAAGUUAAAGGCUGUGGCUUAACCAUAGUACGCUUUGGAAACUGUUUAACUUGAGUGCAAGAGGGGAGAGUGGAAUUCCAUGUGUAGCGGUGAAAUGCGUAGAUAUAUGGAGGAACACCGGUGGCGAAAGUGGCUCUCUGGCUUGUAACUGACGCUGAGGCUCGAAAGCGUGGGGCGCAGACAGGAUUAGAUACCCGCGUAGUCCCUGUCUCUUAUACA